Long non-coding RNA from Clupea harengus (Atlantic herring), 2028 nucleotides. The record is from Ensembl. Lineage: Eukaryota; Metazoa; Chordata; Actinopteri; Clupeiformes; Clupeidae.
GGGCAGGAGAAUAACACUCAUAAAGGAGGGAGUUGUGUGAGGCACAAUGCUUCGCCUCAGGCACAAGACUCAACAGGCCUUUGUUUGUGGACACCAGGAGAGCAGAGCAGAGCCGUAUGGAGUCAGACACCAGAGUGAACCUCUCGCCAAGACAGAAAUACUCCUUCCAUAGUGUCACCUUUGCAGGGCCCCAGACAUAAGGUACACAUGUGAGUGCCAAGGAAUUGGUUGACAGGCAUUUAUGCCUUGUAGAAAUAUGUAGGAGAAAAUACAUUAGUGGAAGGAGAGGAGCUGCUCAGUGACUGAACAAAAAUAUAUAAAAAAGAUUUGAAGGAUCUCUAAGGAAUCAGAGGCCCUUAACACUGUGGAGCUCGAAAAAUCAAAAUGGAAAUCCAUUUGAGCAAUAUGCAAGCAUCAACCUUCCUGCACGCAUACAGACACAGCUGUAGACACACAAACACACACAUUCUCAUCUGAUUAACUGGACCUCAUUUUCAUAAAAAAAAACUUCAAAAAGGUCAUCAAACAUUCUCCCAACCUUUCCAGACAGAUCUCUGAUAGGUCUGAUAUGCUGAUUUUAUUCUUAUUAGAUGGCUCCAGGGUGGUCAAAAGCUGUAUUCGCCUCGAACAGCUCUGCUGAUAUAUUUGCCUUUUAAAGUCAUUGACUCGACAAAUGCAAAACAGUUCCUCUCUCAGGACAUAUCAACUUCCCAUGUUUUGACCUUUCAACAGGAAGUUCUUCCUGCUAAUUCAAUGCAAAGACAAUGAAAAAAGGUUUUCCGCCCUGUUCAAGUGUGAGACUAAACACAAAAGGCUUGUAGUCUGCUUUUCAGACUCACACAAAGAGAACUGUUGAAAGCCUUGCUGUGAACUCUGGUACCCCUGCUCUGUCCAAGUAGGGGGCACACAUCUCAGAUAAUACUGGUGCUGUGCUGGCUCUAAAUAGGAGAUGCAUUGCAAAUUAAAGUUUAAUAUAUUUUCAAUUUAGGCAAGCUGCAAUAAACACCUCAGUCUAUCUUCGACUCAAUAACUAAAAAAGACAAAUGAUUAUUAUUGAGGCACAUGAGCCCACUUCUCAACAUGAGCAGUUACACAAUCCUUGUCUGUAAUGUUUUAUGAAGUAAUGUUCAUCUCGAACUCAAAACAUAUGAUAACCCAAAUAAAGAUUUGAAAAGCUGAAAGGUGUGUACCUGAAAAAAACUUUAUUAGAUUGUCUAGGGCUAACUUUGCCAAGGUUACAGCAACAUUCUGAAAUGUUCCUUUUGUGAAGAGAACCAGAAUGUUUGUGUCCAGUCCCCAGUUACAAAUGAAACCGAAAAAUCAUGUUGCUGAAAUUAGCUGAAAUACCUUACAAAAUAUGUCCAAGCUGUAGUUCAUGAGCCAUAAGAACCAAUUAGCGAGGACAUUGAUGUUCGUGUUGAACCUGGGACAUUUCCAGAUGAUACGAGGGCCUUCGCAUUGGGGAAACAACAGAGCCUUCUUGUCUGAGGAAGACAUGAUGAUUUCAGAACUGUGUGAGAGGUAACGGGGCAUCAUCUGCUUGCAAUUAGCCUCCUCAUGCAACGAGAAUUUCAAACUUCUUGUUUUAUGUUGGAGAAUGGCAAUAUGCAACAUGGCUAUAAAUAGCAUCACUGUCGCUGCGGAGAAGAAAUGAGACCAUCAGUCCAAUCCUGGCAGGAGUAAGUCAUGCACGUUGUUUAUCACACAUUGCAUAGUGAUGGCCAACUAGAUUGUCCCAGUAUGAUGUCAUACUGUAACACAGAAUAUAACGUUCAGAAUUACACUACACUAACUCAUCAUCACCCCAACUUCAAACAAUCCCCUCUCGCCUCUCUCUGGGGUCAGGAGAGGUAGCGCCAGGUUGUGGAUUGGUAACGUCAGUCCGACACCCAAUGAGUGAAUUAUGGAUCAGGAUCAGCACCCAUCAGAUACCAAUAUUGGAUGGGUGGGAUCGGAUCGGCCCCGACUCUAGACCCAACGCACCUGCUGAAUCGAUCACGCUACCCUGAAGGAACCUGUAAUAUUGGC